UUAACCUAUAGUAGUAAGUAGUGCCAAAUUUUGUCUAGGGUCGUAGCCCCUUUUGGUCUGUGUUAUUUUGGUAGUUUUAGCCCCUCCCAAAAUAUAAGGUCUAGUUGCGCUUAUAGUCACGGUUCACUUUAUAGGCCCAAGUUUAUUAAUUACCCAAUACCAGUUUUGUUGUUUUGGACGGGAAGAAAUAAAAUGUAUAUAGUUACUGUGAUGGAUUUGAACUGAAAAACGGUUCUUGUUAUUAUCGACGACUGCUUGAUCACACACACACUCGUAUUCCGAAAAAUAAUAAUAAUAUAAUACGAAAUAUCCACAAAUACUGUUAUUCGUUUACUGUGCACAUACAAUAACAACUGAAAUUACAAAACUAAAUAUUAGCGACGACGACGUUGAAUGGCGUUUUCUUUGCUUUUUGGCCAAUCGAUACGAUAUGAUGGCACUAUACAUGUGUGUG
Non-coding RNA from Cinara cedri, 454 nucleotides. The record is from the annotation of a GenBank genome assembly. NCBI's taxonomy places the organism in Eukaryota, Metazoa, Arthropoda, Insecta, Hemiptera, Aphididae.